Felis catus (domestic cat) is the source of this 3834-nucleotide long non-coding RNA. RefSeq lists it as uncharacterized. The transcript has 5 exons. Lineage: Eukaryota; Metazoa; Chordata; Mammalia; Carnivora; Felidae. The record is from RefSeq and is a predicted model, not a curated record.
GGACACGCAGACUAAUCCUGAUUCGUGGAAGGGGACUACACAAAGGGAUGAAUUCCAGGAGCUUUGCAGAUGCAGCCCUGAAGAGGUUUAUUCCACUUCUCCCAAAGUCGAUCGUACACGAUAGCCAGCCAUCUAACCUUAACAAAGCCAUGCAGAUUAACCAAGUGGAAACAAGAUUCUAACUGAAAAGCUGAUAGGACCUCGGUGGCGAGUGGCCAGGAUCAGGCCCAGCCUAGCAGACUCUCCAACACCUUGCACUGAAAGUUUCACUAGAGGCAAAUGCAUCUGUAUCCUGACAAUAGAUGAAAUCAAUCAAAUCAGAUGGGAGAAGCCUCCAGUAAGUGCAACACCCAGGGCUGUGUGCGGUUUAGAUCUUGGCUUUCCUCUGUUCUGCCCACGACAGGACAAGGAACUCCGGAGGCUAUAAUUUUCAUGAGCUUUUAUAGAGGGAAGCGUCCGGCAACGUCAAUUUAAAAUGUAAAAAUCGACUCUGCACCGGCACAUGAUAUUGGGUAAUCAUGUAGUACCCACGGCCCUUGGUUUGGUGAGACGCUUCCUUACUCUACAGUCUGGGCUAUUCACGGGAUGACGCUGAGAAUUUUUAGCAUGGAAAUUUCUGUGUUCUCUGACCUAUGUUGCUGUCAGCCAUAUCCAAUGCAACAAAGUUUCAAGCAGGACAAAAAAGCCAAAUUGUUUUGGAAAGCUAGUGACUCCUCCUUAAUUCUUAAUGUUUUGUGAAUUCGGAAUUGCUAUUGCAUUCUCACACAAUUAUGAGCACCCGUGGUUAUUUCUGGCCACUGGAUUAUUAAUUUGCGUGGGCAACCAGACAAAUAUCACCUAUUCCUUCCCUGACAAGGUUUCCUGAACUGUCUAAUUAGUUUCAAGGAGAAAGAUACUCACUUGUACAAGCCAGCCCAUUAUUUUCUUAACAUCAAGGAGUAUCCUGUCUCGGCAAAUGUCAUCCCUGAAGCUAUGGAUUUGCUGGGCUGCCCCGCAAUCAGACAGGAACAUAAUUUGCUUCUACGUGAUAUUUUUGAGGCUCCAUUUUUUAUUUCUUUCCCCCUAUUUGAAGAAUGCAAUGAAUUCAGGAGCUCAGUUUGGCUUUAAGGAUUGUUAGCUACUUCCUAACUGUCCCUCUAGGGAAAGAGGGAGGAAGGGGGGACCAAGGAGAUAGCAAAAAUCAAUAGAGUCUGCUUGAAUUCUCUGUCUCCCUCCAUCCGACGCCAAGAACCUGAGUGAAGUGUGCUCUCAGCGUAGGGGAAGCCAGCCUGAGUGCCAAUCAACCACAGGCAGGAGGCUGUGUUAGCUCGGACAGAGGCGGCUGUUUUUUGCCAGGGGGAAACAAAUACAGGAAGAACGUUGCUUCUCAAAAGAGCCUCUACAGAGAACAACCUGCAAGCACCCGGAAGAAAAACAGGCUCCAGUGAAAAAGUCUCUGCUAAGGUCACAGAGUUGUGCACCUUAAAAGCGGUGAAUGUUAUGGUAUGCAGAUUAUUAUACCCAGCUAAAAAAAAAAAAAAAAAAAAAAAAAAAAAAGUUGUACGAGAAAAUAAAAUACGCCAAGGGAUUCUGUUUUACAUCCCGAAAGGAGGAAGAGAAAGGUGUGAGGAAGAGUGAGGAAGCACACACAUGCACAAAGAACCUGGAAGUCCCAACAGAUAGGGCACCUGGCUCUGUGCUCACCAUGUGCACACGGUAUUCGUUGAGAGGAUGCCCGAAUCAAAGUCAGCAACAAACUCUGGGGGCAGCAGCCCCUUAUGCAAUGACCGGCCGGCUCCCUGUGAACACGUUCUCCACGACCCUGUGUCCGCUGUGCCCCCUGGUAAUGAAGAAUUGGCUGUCAGCCACUCAUUUUGCGUGUACGUCGGGGCAGGCCAUCAGAUCAGCAUUCUACCGGAAGGCGGCUCUGUGACCCUGCAGCUGAAUGACACUGUUGCUUUCUGAAAACUGUAAAUCAGAGGAAAUAGAGAUUGCUGGUGAAUGAAACCUUUUGUGUCCUCUUUUUAUUAGCACUUGAAAUUGGGUUUUCUCCAAUAUAUUUAUUUUCCAUUCUGCGAGCUCAAGUGUGAUGGAUAUGCCUUUGGAAAUUAAUGACGCAAUUAAAGAAUCUGUCCCCUCUGGAUCACUUGCUGGGGGUUACAGGUGUUUUUCAUCUUGUUCUUUCAGCAGAUCUGAUGAAGCCCAAGUUGAUUUUACAUAAAGAGACUAAAGAAUGCUUGCAAAGAUUGCCUAUAAAUAGGAAACACGAGCUGAACUUUUCCUAACGGCAAAGAUUCUGUUUUUGAUCAUUCUAACCCCCUGCUUUUGGGGGGGGGCACGUUAUUAUUUCCAGUUAUUGUUGUUAUUUGUUUUCCUGAAAGAAAUACAAUUUAAAUAAUGCUAACUAUAUUGAUCUACCUGUAUGUUAGUGCCUGGUGAUAAGGCUUGGAGUUCCCCUCGAUUUUAUAAUUGUACCCAGGACGUGACACAUACAUUGUCUCUGAAAAUACCUAGUGCUCUGCCAAUUAGCAGCAUCGGCUUUCAUGUCAAUUUGAAAAGGUCUAGAUGUGAAGGGAUGGCAUACCCCUACCAGAAUGAUCCCUCUUAGGUUCCCAUAAUUAAAGAGAGGUGCUCACUGGGUCUGCCUCAUGUAUCCAUCGUGGAGCCAGAGUAGGGAAUGGAAAUGGUUCACUGAUCAAAAUACCAGAAUUAGCUCCAUCUGAUUUGAAUCUCUUUCCUUAACACCAUCCAGAGUUCCUCUAACUUGGAAAAUUAAAAAGACAAAAAAAAAAAAAAAUCAAUUGAGAGUAACUGAAACAUCAAGUUUCUCUCUCUCUUCCUUUCUUGGGAUCAUAAUAUAGAGCAUAUAUAAGCAUUUUGUGUUAAUACAUAAUGUGUUAUGUAUUAUAACUUAGUAAAAGUUAACUUAAAUAGAGCCAAAUAUACUACAAUGUCAAAUAGCCGUUACGAAGGGUGGUCCUGCCCCCAGUCUCUGCCCCUGCCCCCUGCACGCUGGGGAAGCCCUUCCAGACACGGCAGUGAGGUCCUGCUGUGAUCACCCUCUCCCUUCACCUUCCUGAUGAAGUGUAUCUGGUCCUGAUCUUGAUCCUGAUUAAGUGUACCUUCUUAGUGUCAGUCUCAUCCAAAUUUUAUGCUGAUGUGGUCAUGACAUUUGUCCUAACAAAUCAGAUAAUAUGAAUGAGCCAUAAUUAUUUUACCCUCAUUUUAUAGACAAAAAGUGAGGCCAGAGAUGCUCUGACUUGCCCAAGAUCCUGUUAGUCAGUGGUGAAGUCAGAGGUAGAAUUCUGAAUUCCUAGCCCCCAGUGUACCAUGCUUCAGCCCGCAUGCUCUUGACUUAUAAGACUGAAAGAUACUAAUUAAGAAAAAGCUAAUUAAUGCCGCACCUUGGGAAACUUGCAACAUUACAUACAGGAAGGUCAAGAGAAAACAUUCGUUUGAGUAGGCCUCAUCUUUGACAUCAUGUGUCUUCUUAGAGACAGUAAAAUUCUUAGGAUACUUUUACUGAGGUUUGAGGAUUGACACGUGCUUAAAAAGACUGUUUCAAAGAAUGUCAGAAACCCUGACGUUCUGUGGAUUUGUACUAUGUUUGGAUUUGCCAUCAAUUUCUCAGUGAUUGUGUUAGCAUUUCAAGCCAACUGGGGAUAGGCCAGAGAAUGAGAAAAUUAGCUGGAAGAAUCCAAUGCCCUUGAUUUAAUAGCUGCUUUCAUGGAGUUAACAUCAGGCUCUUUUUUGGCCAGUAAUGAUUAAUUCUUGUAAUGAUUCAGUUUUCUUCUGCCAUGGCUUGUCUAAAAUACUUGUCUUACAUAACCAUCUGUCAGAACUUUUUUUGUUAAA